UAGAAAAGCACAUAUAUCAGGCCUGCAUCACCAUGUCCUCCAUCACCACAGAGAUGGAGCAACAGGGCCAGUUGGCCAGGCCAGUACCUCCCCUCCCAGGCCUGGUCCAGGGCAAAUGAAACUCCUCUCUGAUACAACUCAGCCACGGGCCAUACUGGAAUCCACUUGCCAAGAUCUGAGCAUCCGAUAUCGGGAGUGCACUCAGGGUAUCUGAGGCCUUCCCGUUAAAAUCAGAGAGAAGUGUUCCAGGCAGUCAAGGACUGGGCUUCUGCUCACAAGGACCGCCCACCCCAGCAAGGAGACAAGAAAGACUCCCCAACACUGGACCAUCAGGAGGCAUGAAGGAUGAAAAGAAGGACAGAGAUGAACAGAGAGAGACUGGCUCUUGGAGGUCAGAGAGGCAAAGACUGCCACCUCGGAUAAAGAUGUUCCUCCCUGCGAAUGCAUAACACUCUCGAGAGCCUAGAAUACAGUAAGACACGAGGGCUUCCAAUGAGAGUCUCAGGGGCUAAGUAUGGUCCACAUUAACCACACAGUUCUCCUGAGGACUUCAGGGGAGUGAAGGUUAUCUGGUUAGCCCUCCAGGAAGACAUCAUACGACGAAGAUUUCUGAGAAUGAAUCCUAAAGCUUGCUCCAGAAGAAUUCACCUAACAUCCUGAAAGCAUCUUCUCUUCCACAGAACCAGUAGAUCCAAAGCUCAGAGCAACACGCUUGAGGACGAGGACCUGGAGUCAGAGCUGACAGGCGGCCUGACCGCACACUUCCAUCCCUUGAGAACCAUUCAGCUGGUUUCCAGCUUUGUUCGCUAUGCAAAUACCUUGAUUGACACUGAUCAAUGACUAGCACUUGGCCCAUAUCUAAGUGCUUGUAUACAAAUAAAGAUGAUUAAAUUGCUUCGAACAGAUUUUGAAUUACAUCUGAGCAGCUAUAUUUUAAAAUAGCGAGCACACUCUAUUUCACCACUGUUAUCAAUAAAAUAUUCA
Molecule: long non-coding RNA, 984 nt
Filed under: Capra hircus (goat)
Lineage: Eukaryota; Metazoa; Chordata; Mammalia; Artiodactyla; Bovidae
Description: lncRNA (ENSCHIG00000001633.1)
Source: RNAcentral